CAGCAGGCGCGCAAAUUACCCACUCCCGGCACGGGGAGGUAGUGACGAAAAAUAACAAUACGGGACUCUUUUGAGACCCCGUAAUUGGAAUGAGUACACUCUAAAUCCUUUAACGAGGAUCUAUUGGAGGGCAAGUCUGGUGCCAGCAGCCGCGGUAAUUCCAGCUCCAAUAGCGUAUAUUAAAGUUGUUGCGGUUAAAAAGCUCGUAGUUGGAUCUCAGUUCCAGACGGGCGGUCCGCCUAACGGUGGUUACUGCCUGGCCUGAACAGCCAGCCGGUUUCCCUAGAUGAUCUUCACCGGUUGUCUUGGGUGACCGGCACGUUUACUUUGAAAAAAUUAGAGUGCUCAAAGCAGGCGUGUAGCCUGAAUAAUGGUGCAUGGAAUAAUGGAAUAGGACUUCGUUUCUAUUUUGUUGGUUUUCGGAACACGAGGUAAUGAUUAAGAGGGACAGACGGGGGCAUUCGUAUUGCGACGCUAGAGGUGAAAUUCUUGGACCGUCGCAAGACGAACUACUGCGAAA
RNAcentral lists this ribosomal RNA (520 nucleotides) under Vacrothele pseudohunanica. Its description in RNAcentral is "SSU rRNA". It matches the Rfam family "Eukaryotic small subunit ribosomal RNA", at positions 426 to 950 of the family's 1831-position model. Lineage: Eukaryota; Metazoa; Arthropoda; Arachnida; Araneae; Macrothelidae. The record is from RNAcentral.